Molecule: ribosomal RNA, 399 nt
Filed under: uncultured bacterium
Lineage: Bacteria
Description: bacterial SSU rRNA
Rfam family: Bacterial small subunit ribosomal RNA
Source: RNAcentral
GGAAUAUUGGACAAUGGGGGCAACCCUGAUCCAGCCAUGCCGCGUGCGUGAAGAAGGCCUUAGGGUUGUAAAGCGCUUUCACUGGUGAAGAUGAUGACGGUAGCCAGAGAAGAAGCCCCGGCUAACUCCGUGCCAGCAGCCGCGGUAAUACGGGGGGAGCAAGCGUUGUUCGGAUUUACUGGGCGUAAAGGGCGCGUAGGCGGCCUCUGCAAGUCGACUGUGAAAUCUCCGGGCUUAACCCGGAACGGUCAGCCGAUACUGCAGGGCUAGAGUGCAGAAGGGGCAACUGGAAUUCUCGGUGUAGCGGUGAAAUGCGUAGAUAUCGAGAGGAACACCUGCGGCGAAGGCGGGUUGCUGGGCUGACACUGACGCUGAGGCGCGAAAGCUAGGGGAGCGAAC